Anopheles arabiensis is the source of this 2066-nucleotide long non-coding RNA. RefSeq lists it as uncharacterized. The transcript has 5 exons. The record is from RefSeq and is a predicted model, not a curated record. Lineage: Eukaryota; Metazoa; Arthropoda; Insecta; Diptera; Culicidae.
UGUUGCUGUGGUUUCGCGUGCUUCGCGGUGUAGUAGGCCGCUCGAAUGUCAGCCCCCGCGGCCGGCUCCUGUCGGACAGGAACAUUCUACACAACAGUGGAGAAAAAAAGUGCUGCACGUCACACAGGACAUGGCCACGAGCCAGGCGAUGGUACGAAACCAAAGCCCCUUUUGCGCAAGCAAAACAGGGAAGGCAGCUGUUGCAAAACCGUAACUCGGGCCAUGAUCUGGACUAGAUUCUUGUGGACGCAAGAUCGCGUGGUCGCGAUACGGCCAGAUCCGGGCAGGCAAUGUGCCAUUGUGCCGCUCGCGGGGCGCCAUUGCCAUUGUCCAGCGGCUGGCUCGCGGCCGGUUACAUAAACCUACCCCUCCCCACGUUUGGAUUGUUUAUUCUAUCCAAAUAGUGCUCUCGUUUUCCCUUUCACGGACGUGAAAGGAAGAGGGGGGAGGAAGCCUUAAUCCUAGCAAUCUGCAUACCGCAUAAGGCAAUACUCACGAUCGGCCUAUAAUUAUAGAGCGGGUUGAACGACGGCUGAUAGUCGCCGGUAUCGGACGGCCCCCCGUCCCCGGACGCUGACGGUGGUCCGGCGGUGGACGUUACGUAGUACUGCAUGUAAGGGAUCAGCCUCCGGUGCCUUUCGGUUGCCGCUGAUGAGCUGCUGCUGCUGCUGCUGUUGGACAAAGGACCAACGCCGUCGGCUCUGAGGUCACGCACACGCACACCGGGAGGCCGUCAUUAAAUUAAAAGCGAGCAAAAAUAGAAAUGCGGGCCUGUUGACCGGCCGAAGCUUAAUGUGGAAAAUAUGUGGACAAAUUCGAAAUUAUGCUGUGUUCCGUUUUCUAAAUACACACACACUGGAGCAUGGAGCUCCCUGCAUCUAUCCUUCGUCAUCUGCGUCACGAACGGACGCGAAGCCACUUGAGAUCAUCGGUAAUGAGAUCUCGGCACGACCCGGUCACGGCAGUUGCGCGGCGCUCCAGAUCGUUACGACGAUUCCGAACAAUAUGAGUCCGUUGGCCCCACGGUGGAGUCCGGCACGGUUUGCGUGAAUCGGAUCCCAAACCAAACACGCGGGGCACACCGAAUCGAGAAAUUUGUUCCGCGAAACUCUUGUAAAUCACAAACCACCAGCAUCACCAUCAGCGUCGGUGGGCCGCGUUUUGCCGCGUGCCGGAGGCAAAUACCCGUCCCCCUUGUGCCUUCAUAAUCACCUUCAUCCUCUCGAGCGGCAUCCUUUUUGGACGGUGUUUUAAAUAAAAAGGGUGGCAGAGAGAAAAUUGAAGAGCGUUUGCACCCUCGAAGCACGAAUCAGAUGGAUGUAAAGGAAAAUUCAAUCCCUCGAACCGUGAUCCAUCGAUAGCGCGAACGGUGCUGUAAAACAAUAUGCGCAACUGUUUCAGAAAACAAACACGUUUACGCAAGAAAACAAAGUAAAAAAAACGAACCAUACGCGGGCACACGCACCCAAAGAAGCGUGGAAUUGAAAUCAGAGCAAACAUAAAAGGUGUGGAAAAACGGCGCACGAUCACAUGCGUAAAGAUCGCGUCCCUUCACACCAUAUGGAUGUCUUUUGAUCGGACGGAAGAGGAAAGCACAUACAAAUACAUACACAAUACUUUCCACAGAGAACGUCCGGUACUCGGGGUAAGGGUGCCGAUUUGUCGCGGACCUUUCGGGGGUGUGGACGAAGCAAUUGUACUUGAAUGUAAUGAGCGAUGACGUUCAAAGGCGUGCGUACCGACUGACCGACACCCUUUUGGAUCGCUGUGCCGCGGCACGUCGAUUUUGCGCAAACAAUUUGACACCCUUUUCCUACCUCUACCCCUACUGAGCAGCUGAAGCCUUUGAAGUGAGACGAACAGAAUUGGUGGUGUUUGAUCGAUCACAGGGACCCAUCACCGGUUGAGUGGCGAUUGGCGGGUGGUUUUGAUGUGAUCUUCGGUACCGAUUCCUCAGCAAACGAGCGCGCUGCUCAGGUUCAAGUGGUUCUUCGAAUGUAGUGACGAUCGUGCGAACAUUCCAUUGCGAUUUGUGAACGAUUUAUGAGUUCUAUAGUAACGAUCCA